This is a non-coding RNA of Delphinapterus leucas (beluga whale), 689 nucleotides long. The record is from RefSeq and is a predicted model, not a curated record. Lineage: Eukaryota; Metazoa; Chordata; Mammalia; Artiodactyla; Monodontidae.
GAGUGCCUCACCAGCCAGACGAUCACCCUGUAAAGACAGCCAGGCAAUAAUGAAGGUUCUUUUACUGGAAGACCCUAAGGAGGACGACUGUGGCCAGGAUCCCUACAUCAGGGAAUUAGGAUUAUAUGGACUUGAAGCCACUUUGAUCCCUGUUUUAUCAUUUGAGUUUUUGUCUCUUCCCAGUUUUUCGGAGAAGCUGUCUCACCCUGAAGGUUACGGGGGCCUCAUUUUUACAAGCCCCAGAGCAGUGGAAGUAGUGGAACUGUGUUUGGAGAAAGACAAUAAAACCGAAGUCUGGAGAAAGUCUCUGAAAGAAAAAUGGAAUGCUAAGUCAGUGUAUGUGGUGGGAAAUGCUACUGCUUCUCUAGUGAAUAAAAUUGGCCUGCAUACAGAAGGAGAAAACUGUGGAAAUGCAGAAAAGCUUGCAGAGUGCAUUUGUUCUAGGGAGUCGUCAGCACUGCCUCUUCUGUUUCCCUGUGGAACCCUCAAAAGAGAAAUCCUGCCGAAAAUGCUCAAGGACAAAGGGAUUCCCGGGGAGAGCUUAACCGUCUACCAGAGGAAUCCAGGGGAACCUCAACAGCUACUAUUCCCAGCAGGGCAUUCCAGCCAGCAUCACGUUUUUCAGGCCCUCUGGCCUGACACACAGUCUCAAGCAUAUUCAAGAGUUAUCUGGUGACAACAUUGACCAG